CCUUUUCAGUACGCUGUAGAGAAACCAAACAUCAUUUGGUCACAGUGCAUGUCGAAGUUUCAUCUGACAGUGAUCUCCAUGUGUGCCUGAAGACAGCUGAAGAGACAUUGUGUUUGUAAGAUGAUAUUUCUUACAGACAUUAGAAAUCAAGGCUACAACCAAGAAAACAGAUUAUUGCAGCCACGAGUUACUGGUUGCUUGCCAUCAUCUGUCACAGCCAGCAGAGGUCAAGGGCCCUACAUUUAUUUUCCAAAUAUGACUGAGUCAUUUAUUAGUGCUUGCAGCUUUGCUGUCCUGGUUUACAAGCUGUUCUCUGUUUGGUUUCCCACACCCUUUUGGGUUAUGCAACAAGUAUUUUGCUUGCAACAGUAUUCUCCUAUUAUCUAACACGCUCUAAAUGCCACCAGUUCCAGAGAAAAGCUGUUUGGCAUGAACAAAGUAAAUGUACAGCAUGCUACAGGUGUUGUUAAUGCCUGUUGGCAUUAAUACAGUAAGUGGCCGAAAAACUUGCGGGUCCCACAUGUCUGCAGCUGGACUUGGACUGAGCCAGGGAGGGGAAUGGUGACAAAGCAUCACUGCAGAAGAGGAACCAGCCUUCCUUCCCAGUGGCAAAUAUACUCAGUGCUGAUUUGGAGUGCUGUGUCACAGCUUUUAGGAUUUGUGUUUGGACCUCACAGCCUGAGGAGUAACCCCAACACAGGAGGCUUGCCUCAUUUUCAAGGAGACACCCUGAAGGUGCAGAAAGCUGGUUUUCACUUGGGUUAUUUUGCAGAGCUGGACACUUCCAAAGAAAGAAAACAGCCAAAAGGAAGUGCUCCUUUCAGUCUGCUGCCUUCAGCUACAUAAUGAGUGACUGCAGAGAAGAUGGACCCAGACUUCAUAGUCAUAGAAUCACAGAAUGGCUUGGGUUGGAAGGGACCUCAAGGAUCAUGAAGCUCCAAUCUCCCUGCUGCAUGCUGGGCUGCCAGCCUCCAUAUCUUCUACCCUCUGAGUUGGAAAAAUGCCCAUCUGCCAGUCCUCCCCUGCCAGCCUAAUAGUGCUGCAGCUGGCAGCACGGCUGCCUGCAGGCCCUGCUCCUCUUGGUUUCACUCUUUAGGACUGUUGGUAGACUACGUAGUCCUUUGUAAUGAGAUAGAGAGAAGGCUGAAGUUACUGCUGUAUUCUACAAGAGGCUCAUCUCCUGCCACAGCAGUUAGUAAGUAAAAGUCUUCUGGCAAAAUUCAAUUUUAAAUAAAUAACCACACAAAAAUAGGUAUGGUCCUCGC
RNAcentral lists this long non-coding RNA (1265 nucleotides) under Chrysolophus pictus (golden pheasant). RNAcentral's name for it is "lncRNA (ENSCPIG00010003017.1)". The record is from RNAcentral. Lineage: Eukaryota; Metazoa; Chordata; Aves; Galliformes; Phasianidae.